Molecule: ribosomal RNA, 1421 nt
Filed under: Mycobacterium sp. W2.10-231
Lineage: Bacteria; Bacillati; Actinomycetota; Actinomycetes; Mycobacteriales; Mycobacteriaceae
Description: bacterial SSU rRNA
Rfam family: Bacterial small subunit ribosomal RNA
Source: RNAcentral
GAGUUUGAUUCCUGGCUCAGGACGAACGCUGGCGGCGUGCUUAACACAUGCAAGUCGAACGGUAAGGCCCUUCGGGGUACACGAGUGGCGAACGGGUGAGUAACACGUGGGUAAUCUGCCCUGCACAUCGGGAUAAGCCUGGGAAACUGGGUCUAAUACCGGAUAGGACCACAGAACACAUGUCCUGUGGUGGAAAGCUUUUGCGGUGUGGGAUGGGCCCGCGGCCUAUCAGCUUGUUGGUGGGGUGAUGGCCUACCAAGGCGACGACGGGUAGCCGGCCUGAGAGGGUGUCCGGCCACACUGGGACUGAGAUACGGCCCAGACUCCUACGGGAGGCAGCAGUGGGGAAUAUUGCACAAUGGGCGAAAGCCUGAUGCAGCGACGCCGCGUGGGGGAUGACGGCCUUCGGGUUGUAAACCUCUUUCACCAUCGACGAAGGUCCGGGUUUUCUCGGAUUGACGGUAGGUGGAGAAGAAGCACCGGCCAACUACGUGCCAGCAGCCGCGGUAAUACGUAGGGUGCGAGCGUUGUCCGGAAUUACUGGGCGUAAAGAGCUCGUAGGUGGUUUGUCGCGUUGUUCGUGAAAUCUCACGGCUUAACUGUGAGCGUGCGGGCGAUACGGGCAGACUUGAGUACUGCAGGGGAGACUGGAAUUCCUGGUGUAGCGGUGGAAUGCGCAGAUAUCAGGAGGAACACCGGUGGCGAAGGCGGGUCUCUGGGCAGUAACUGACGCUGAGGAGCGAAAGCGUGGGGAGCGAACAGGAUUAGAUACCCUGGUAGUCCACGCCGUAAACGGUGGGUACUAGGUGUGGGUUUCCUUCCUUGGGAUCCGUGCCGUAGCUAACGCAUUAAGUACCCCGCCUGGGGAGUACGGCCGCAAGGCUAAAACUCAAAGAAAUUGACGGGGGCCCGCACAAGCGGCGGAGCAUGUGGAUUAAUUCGAUGCAACGCGAAGAACCUUACCUGGGUUUGACAUGCACAGGACGCCGGCAGAGAUGUCGGUUCCCUUGUGGCCUGUGUGCAGGUGGUGCAUGGCUGUCGUCAGCUCGUGUCGUGAGAUGUUGGGUUAAGUCCCGCAACGAGCGCAACCCUUGUCUCAUGUUGCCAGCGGGUAAUGCCGGGGACUCGUGAGAGACUGCCGGGGUCAACUCGGAGGAAGGUGGGGAUGACGUCAAGUCAUCAUGCCCCUUAUGUCCAGGGCUUCACACAUGCUACAAUGGCCGGUACAAAGGGCUGCGAUGCCGCGAGGUUAAGCGAAUCCUUUUAAAGCCGGUCUCAGUUCGGAUCGGGGUCUGCAACUCGACCCCGUGAAGUCGGAGUCGCUAGUAAUCGCAGAUCAGCAACGCUGCGGUGAAUACGUUCCCGGGCCUUGUACACACCGCCCGUCACGUCAUGAAAGUCGGUAACACCCGAAGCCAGUG